This 980-nucleotide ribosomal RNA is filed under the name Echinostoma caproni. Its description in RNAcentral is "large subunit ribosomal RNA". The stretch from base 628 to 980 matches the Rfam family "Bacterial large subunit ribosomal RNA", at positions 2048 to 2709 of the family's 2925-position model. Lineage: Eukaryota; Metazoa; Platyhelminthes; Trematoda; Plagiorchiida; Echinostomatidae. The record is from RNAcentral.
AUUAUGUUUAGAGACAGUUAGGUUAAUUUUAUUGGGUUAUUUAUAUUACCUUUUGCAUCAUGAUCUAUUGAUGGUUUUUUCUGUUUUGUAAGACUCCGAAAGAUGUCGAUAUCUAUAUCCAUUGCUUGGUGAUUUUUCUAAGGCGGGUAGCCUGGAUGAAAUGGGGAUAGUGGUUUGAUAAAUAAUUCGGGACAUCUAAUAUCUGGUUGAGGGUUAAUCUUGUUGGUUUAUUUAGUUGGCUAUGGGGUCGGCUAAACGAUUAUAGCGGUUUUAGAUUUAAGGGUCCUUGGGGUUAAAGCUACCCCCGGGAAUCGUGUGUGUUAAUACUCUUCUUUAUUUUUAUAGUUUGCUUAAAAUUAGGUGCCCUCUUUAUAACAUAGGUUCUUUAGUAUGAUAGAAUAAGUAGGCUUUAAAUACUUUCAUUUUUUCUCGAUUGCUUUCGGUCUGUUUAUUAAAAACAUUUCUAUCUUUCUUUUUAGAUAGUAGUGCCUGCCCAAUGCUUAGGUUAAUGGCCGCAGUAUUUUGACUGUGCUAAGGUAGCAUAAUUAGUUGCCUCAUAAUUAGGGGAUUGUUUGAACGGUUUGACUAGAGAGUUUAAUUAGAUUGGAAGUUAUUCUGAAAUUGGUUUGUUGGUGCAGAACCCAACAGUAGCUAGUUAGACGGAAAGACCCCGAGAUCUUUAUGUUGCGAUAUUUAUUUGGGGCAAGGCUAUAUAAUUUAUGUAGUUUUUGAUCCUUUUGGAUUAUAGGUUUAAGUUACCUCGGGGAUAACUAGGUAAAAGACGAGGAGAGAUCUAAUCGAUUCGUUUAAUUGCCAUCUCGAUGUUGACUUGGGAAAUAUAUUAGGGUGCAGGAGUUCUAGUAUUUGGUCUGUUCGACCACAUCUCCCUCAUGAGUUGAGUUAAGACCGGCGUGAGCCAGGUCGGUUCUUAUCUACUUUUGUUGCAAAUUAGUACGAAAGGAUUGUUUGUAUUUUAGGUU